This 76-nucleotide transfer RNA is filed under the name bacterium SCN 62-11. RNAcentral describes it as "tRNA-Thr". It matches the Rfam family "tRNA". Rfam says of the family: Transfer RNA (tRNA) molecules are approximately 80 nucleotides in length. Their secondary structure includes four short double-helical elements and three loops (D, anti-codon, and T loops). RNAcentral also lists the same sequence under 2 other names. The record is from RNAcentral.
GCUGGAGUAGCUCAGUUGGCAGAGCACGUCCUUGGUAAGGACGAGGUCGGCGGUUCGAGCCCGCUCUCCAGCUCCA